ACAAAGCCUGUUUGGUGUCUCUUCACAUGGACUCGAGUGAACUUUGGUGCCGUGACUCGGAUUGGGGGACCUCCCUUAGGAAAUCAAUCCCCCGUCCUCCUGCUCUUUGCUCCAUGAGAAAGAUCCACCUACAACCUCAGGUCCUCAGACCAACCAGCCCAAGAAACAUCUCACCAAUUUUAAAUCCACUGAAGACUGACGCUGCCUGAUCACCUCGGAAGCGCCGUAGACCAUCAGGGACGCCGAGCUUCCGGUAACUCUCACAGUGGAGGAAGGCAGGAAUGUCAGGCCUCUGAGCCCAAGCCAAGCCAUCGCAUCCCCUGUGACUUGCACGUAUACGCCCAGAUGGCCUGAAGUAACUGAAGAAUCACAAAAGAAGUGAAAAGGCCCUGCCCCGCCUUAACUGAUGACAUUCCACCAUGGUGAUUUGUUCCUGCCCCACCUUAACUGAGUGACUAACCCUGUGAAUUUCCUUCUCCUGGCUCAGAAGCUCCCCCACUGAGCACCUUGUGACCCCCGCCCCUGCCCACCAGAGAACAACCCCCUUUGACUGUAAUUUUCCAUUACCUUCCCAAAUCCUAUAAAACGGCCCCACCCCAUCUCCCUUCGCUGACUCUCUUUUCGGACUCAGCCCGCCUGCCCCCAGGUGAAAUAAACAGCCAUGUUGCUCACACAAAGCCUGUUUGGUGGUCUCUUCACACGGACGCGCAUGAAAAACCCCUUUC
Molecule: long non-coding RNA, 725 nt
Organism: Pan troglodytes (chimpanzee)
Lineage: Eukaryota; Metazoa; Chordata; Mammalia; Primates; Hominidae
Exons: 3
Source: RefSeq, a predicted model, not a curated record